UCCCUGGUAACUCAGUUGGUAAAGAAUCUGCCUGCAAUGCAGGAGACCCUGGUUCGAUUCCUGGGUUGGGAA
RNAcentral lists this transfer RNA (72 nucleotides) under Bos taurus (domestic cattle). It matches the Rfam family "tRNA". From Rfam's summary of the family: Transfer RNA (tRNA) molecules are approximately 80 nucleotides in length. Their secondary structure includes four short double-helical elements and three loops (D, anti-codon, and T loops). The record is from Rfam by way of RNAcentral. Lineage: Eukaryota; Metazoa; Chordata; Mammalia; Artiodactyla; Bovidae. RNAcentral also lists the same sequence under 2 other names.